CCACACUUGGGUCAUGAGACUCCGGCCGCAGACUCCUGACACGUAGGCCAGCGAGUGGGGGAAUUUUUGGAGCAAUGCGGGGCAAACCCUGAAUCCAGCAAAUACCGCGUGUAUGAAGAAGCGACUUCAGGGUUGCUAAAGCACUUUUAGUCCGGAAAGAAAUCGCGCUGGCUAUAUACCUGGCGAGGAUGACGGUACCGGAAGAAUAAGCACCGGCUAACUACGUGCCAGCAGCCGCGGUAAUACGUAGGGUGCGAACGUUAAUCGGAAUUACUGGGCGUAAAGCGUGCGCAGGCGGUUUUGUAAGACAGGCGUGAAAACCCCGAGCUCGAACUUGGGAAUGGCGCUUGUGACUGCGACGGCUAGAGUAUGGCAGAGGGGGGUAGAAUCCCGCGUGUAGCAGUGAAAUGCGUAGAGAUGCGGAGGAAUACCGAUGGCGAAGG
Molecule: ribosomal RNA, 443 nt
Filed under: uncultured Ralstonia sp.
Lineage: Bacteria; Pseudomonadati; Pseudomonadota; Betaproteobacteria; Burkholderiales; Burkholderiaceae
Description: bacterial SSU rRNA
Rfam family: Bacterial small subunit ribosomal RNA
Source: RNAcentral